Non-coding RNA from Macaca mulatta (Rhesus monkey), 1626 nucleotides. NCBI's taxonomy places the organism in Eukaryota, Metazoa, Chordata, Mammalia, Primates, Cercopithecidae. The record is from RefSeq and is a predicted model, not a curated record.
UGAAAAUAAAUAGGAGAGGAACAGAAAAAAAGAACUCAUUAGAAAUUUUUUGAAAUAAUCCAGCAUACGAUUUGCAAAGGUGCAAAUUAAGAAAGGAUAAGCAUAGGGAAAAGUGAAAGGAUUAAAAAAUAUUUGAGGACCACAUUUUAGUAUUUGAUAAAUGAAUGGAUGUGGGGAGUGGAGAAAGCAGUAAAGAAACUUUCAAGAAAAAGCUCGUGUUUCUACUUUGAGUUUGGUAAUUUGCAGGGCAAUUGAUAGUGUUUUGUUUUUUUUUUUUUUUUUUUUAAGGGCGUAGAACAAGUCAAUUUGGUGAAUAGAUGAGGAGACAAUUUUGAAUGUCUCUGAUUGGAGAUACUUGUAUCUAGAGGUAGAACUUUCUAAAUAAUAGGUGGAAAGUAUAAUAGAAAAUUGAAGCAAGACUGCUUUUCUUUGACCAUUAAGUUCAGUGUUUCUCAGACGUUGUUAUAUGUAGAAAUGAGAUAAAAUAGUACUCUAUCAAAGCUACUUCCCUAACCUUUAACUUAUUGGCAAUAAUUGUUGGUCCAUUUUACUCCCUGUCUCUUUUCUUUUUCCCUCUUUUAUUAUCGGGAUACAACAUAAAUAAUUUUACUAUUUGAAUAAUCCAAGGUAUUUAAGUUGGUAAAACGCUAAUCUAGUCUUAUCUUCUCAUUUAUUAAUAUGAGAAAAAUGAAGCAGAAUGUUGCCUUUUACUCCCCUACCAAGGAGAGGUCUGAAUGAGGUUUAACUGACUUCUAAGGCAGUGGUGGUUCUACAAUCACAUAAUUGUGGAGGCAAUUUUUACUUUGAUUUCAGAGAGCUGACUGUCAAAUCUAUGGAGGGAGAGCUUUUGUUUUGAGUAAAGCCGAUGUUUCUGAGCCCACAAAUGUUUGAGAGGUUGUUAGGGAAAUCCUCUUCACCACCAGGAGAGGCUGCAUAUCUGAAAAAGAGAGAGCAUGCUUUCUGAUUGAACCCUAUUUUAUUGCAACCAUCAGACGUUUUCUUCUCUCUUCUCUGGGAUGGUCAAUCAAGCUACAUCAGAGAGAUAAUGAAAUUUUGUCACAGAGUAAGCGCAAGUCCAUGUCUCACCACAUGAAGAGUAACACACUCAUCUGUGUGACUCUUGGCGUAUAAAACUACCACCUGCAGAACUUGGACAAGUUGUUUGAUGUCUCUGAGAAUCUAGUUGAAGCAUGUAAAAUUCUUCAAAUUAUUAGACCUGACUUUGGGUAACUUUUUUUCUUUAUUGAUUUCCUUGGCCAUAGUUUUUAUUCUCACCAUGGGAAUCUUGAAGAUUAUCUGGAAAAGAUCUGUCAAUGUACUUAUUUUCUCCCCAGUAUUGAUUCAACUUCUUUGCCUAAUCUGAAUUAACUAUAUAACUAUUAUAUAUAUUAACUAUAUAACAGCAACAACAUGUGUAGGUCACAUGUAUUUAUGCUGAACUUUGCUUUUAUAAAGUUUUUGUUUUCUUUAAAAAUAUUUGCAUUUUUAAAGUUUUUGUACUACAGAGGCAUUUUCUGCAAAGGAGAAGGAUAAAUUUUCUCUUAUGAGGAAGACCUUUGUUUGUUUGUUUUUGUUUUGAGAUGGAGUCUCAUCCUGUUGCCCAGGUUGGAGUAUGGUGGUGCGAUC